UUGGAGGGCAAGUCUGGUGCCAGCAGCCGCGGUAAUUCCAGCUCCAAUAGCGUAUAUUAAAGUUGUUGCAGUUAAAAAGCUCGUAGUUGAACUUCGGGGUUUACCCAUUGGUCAGGCUUAACUGUCUGUACUGGUGAGAUAAAUCUCUACCUUCUGAGGAACUUUCAUGCCAUUUAUUUGGUGUGAUUGGAAAUCAGGACUAUUACUUUGAAAAAAUUAGAGUGUUUAAAGCAGGCUAACGUCUGAAUAUAUUAGCAUGGAAUAAUGAAAUAGGACGGCUUGGUUCUAUCUCGUUGGUUUCUAGGAUCACCGUAAUGAUUAAUAGGGAUAGUUGGGGGCAUUAGUAUUCAAUUGUCAGAGGUGAAAUUCUUGGAUUUAUUGAAGACUAACUACUGCGAAAGCAUUUGCCAAGGAUGUUUUCAUUAAUCAAGAACGAAAGUUAGGGGAUCGAAGACGAUCAGAUACCGUCGUAGUCUUAACCAUAAACUAUGCCGACUAGGGAUCGGAUGAUGUUGAUUUUUUAAUGACUCAUUCGGCGCCUUACGGGAAAC
RNAcentral lists this ribosomal RNA (551 nucleotides) under uncultured Glomeromycotina. RNAcentral describes it as "SSU rRNA". It matches the Rfam family "Eukaryotic small subunit ribosomal RNA", at positions 548 to 1098 of the family's 1831-position model. The record is from RNAcentral. Lineage: Eukaryota; Fungi; Glomeromycota.